GAUGAACGCUAGCGGCAGGCCUAAUACAUGCAAGUCGAACGGUGGCAGCAAUGCCAUAGUGGCGCACGGGUGCGUAACGCGUAACCAACCUACCCUUGACUGGGGGAUAGCCCGCCGAAAGGCGGAUUAAUACCGCAUAAUACUUGUGACCGGCAUCGGUGAUUAGUUAAAGAUUUAUUGGUCAAGGAUGGGGUUGCGUGCCAUUAGCUAGUUGGGGGGGUAACGGCCCACCAAGGCGACGAUGGCUAGGGGAGCUGAGAGGCUGGUCCCCCACACGGGCACUGAGAUACGGGCCCGACUCCUACGGGAGGCAGCAGUAGGGAAUAUUGGGCAAUGGCCGAGAGGCUGACCCAGCCAUGCCGCGUGCAGGACGAAGGCUUUCUGAGUCGUAAACUGCUUUUGCCAGGGAAGAAUAAGGUGCGUGCGCGCUCCGACGACGGUACCUGGUGAAUAAGCACCGGCUAACUCCGUGCCAGCAGCCGCGGUAAUACGGAGGGUGCAAGCGUUGUCCGGAUUUAUUGGGUUUAAAGGGUGCGUAGGCGGCUUUUUAGGUCCGGGGUGAAAGCCCGUUGCUCAACAACGGAACUGCCCUGGAAACUGGAGAGCUUGAGUACAGACGAGGGCGGCGGAAUGGAGGGUGUAGCGGUGAAAUGCAUAGAUACCCUCCAGAACCCCGAUUGCGAAGGCAGCUGCCUAGACUGUUACUGACGCUGAGGCACGAAAGCGUGGGGAGCGAACAGGAUUAGAUACCCUGGUAGUCCACGCCGUAAACGAUGGAUACUCGCUGCCGGCGAUACAAUGUCGGUGGCUUAGCGAAAGCGUUAAGUAUCCCACCUGGGGGAGUACGCCCGCAAGGGUGAAACUCAAAAGAAUUGACGGGGGCCCGCACAAGUGGUGGAGCAUGUGGUUUAAUUCGAUGAUACGCGAGGAACCUUACCUAGGCUAGAAUGCGCGUGACCGGCUCAGAGAUGAGCCUUUCCUUCGGGACACAAAGCAAGGUGCUGCAUGGCCGUCGUCAGCUCGUGCCGUGAGGUGUUGGGUUAAGUCCCGCAACGAGCGCAACCCCUAUGGUUAGUUGCCAGCACGUAAUGGUGGGGACUCUAGCCAGACUGCCUGCGCAAGCAGUGAGGAAGGCGGGGACGACGUCAGGUCAUCAUGGCCCUUACGCCUAGGGCUACACACGUGCAACAAUGGACGGUACAGCGGGUUGCCAACCAGCGAUGGUGCGCCAAUCCCGAAAAGCCGUUCUCAGUUCGGAUCGGAGUCUGCAACCCGACUCCGUGAAGCUGGAAUCACUAGUAAUCGCGUAUCAGCAAUGACGCGGUGAAUACGUUCCCGGGCCUCACACCGCCCGUC
RNAcentral lists this ribosomal RNA (1356 nucleotides) under uncultured bacterium. RNAcentral describes it as "bacterial SSU rRNA". It matches the Rfam family "Bacterial small subunit ribosomal RNA", at positions 28 to 1398 of the family's 1533-position model. The record is from RNAcentral.